RNAcentral lists this transfer RNA (67 nucleotides) under Brachidontes mutabilis. RNAcentral's name for it is "tRNA-Lys". The record is from RNAcentral. Lineage: Eukaryota; Metazoa; Mollusca; Bivalvia; Mytilida; Mytilidae.
GACAGGUAAAAUAAAAUUAAUAUUGUAAAACUUUUAAUUUUAUAAAAAGAGUAUAUCUUUACUGUCA